Molecule: non-coding RNA, 180 nt
Filed under: Nitrospirota bacterium
Lineage: Bacteria; Pseudomonadati; Nitrospirota
Also listed under: 1 other name
Description: 6S RNA
Rfam family: 6S / SsrS RNA
About the family: E. coli 6S RNA was the first non coding RNA to be sequenced, but its function was unknown until recently. It consists of 184 nucleotides that fold into an extended hairpin structure with a large single-stranded internal bulge.
Source: RNAcentral
AUUUACCUGCCUUGUGCGUGAUAGGUGGAAAACUUGAACCCUCAAUUAGAUAAUUUAGGGAGCCAGCGUAAGGUAAGUGUGAGCUCUCCCAAAGGGAGAAAGCCUAAUCUUUCCUUCAAGGCGCCCACGUAUAGUUUUAGGGAUUCAAGACAUCUAUCUACACGGCAAGGUGGGGCUCAA